GAUGAAGAACGUAGCAAAGUGCGAUAAGUAGUGUGAAUUGCAGAAUUUCGUGAAUCAUCGAAUCUUUGAACGCAAAUUGCACUCUCCGGUUUUCCGGGAGAGUAUGCCUGUUUGAGGGUCAGCCUAAAUAAAUUCGGCUUCGUUGCUGUUGUUUUCGCGGUAACGUUUUUAGUCGGGAUUUGGGUCAUCUUAAACCGAAAGGUUUUUAAGCGACUUAAAAUUUUUUUACGAUCCCACGAACGUUUCUAAGUACUUCUUACACGUUCAGGGUAUCGAAAACCCCUAUUAGGCGUGGCCGUCGUAUCGGAUCGCGUCCAUAAUAUUUAUUCUUUAACUGACCUCAGACAGGUAAGAAUACCCGCUGAACUUAAGCAUAUCAAUAAGCGGAGGA
This 391-nucleotide unclassified non-coding RNA is filed under the name soil metagenome. Its description in RNAcentral is "partial contains 5.8S ribosomal RNA, internal transcribed spacer 2, and large subunit ribosomal RNA". The stretch from base 1 to 121 matches the Rfam family "5.8S ribosomal RNA", at positions 35 to 154 of the family's 154-position model. The record is from RNAcentral.